CCUACGGGAGGCAGCAGUGAGGAAUAUUGGUCAAUGGGCGCGAGCCUGAACCAGCCAAGUCGCGUGAGGGAAGACGGCCCUACGGGUUGUAAACCUCUUUUGCCGGGGAGCAACGGGCGCCACGUGUGGCGCCACUGAGAGUACCCGGAGAAAAAGCAUCGGCUAACUCCGUGCCAGCAGCCGCGGUAAUACGGAGGAUGCGAGCGUUAUCCCGAUUUAUUGGGUUUAAAGGGUGCGUAGGCGGAUCGUUAAGUAAGUGGUCAAAUUGAGGGGCUCAACCCCUUCCCGCCAGGGAACUGGGCGCUGUGGAGUGGAAGAGAAGUAUGCGGAAGGCGUGGUGUAGCGGUGAAAUGCAGAGAUAGCACGCAGAACCCCGAUUGCGAAGGCAGCAUGCCGGCUUCCGACUGACGCUGAAGCACGAAAGCGUGGGGAUCGAACAGGAUUAGAUACCCCUGUAGUC
Molecule: ribosomal RNA, 460 nt
Filed under: uncultured bacterium
Lineage: Bacteria
Description: partial 16S ribosomal RNA
Rfam family: Bacterial small subunit ribosomal RNA
Source: RNAcentral